Molecule: small RNA, 1743 nt
Filed under: Pongo abelii (Sumatran orangutan)
Lineage: Eukaryota; Metazoa; Chordata; Mammalia; Primates; Hominidae
Description: processed transcript
Source: RNAcentral
GAUGUUUGCUUAGUUGCCUGUUCCCUUUUCUACCUGCAGAGCACGGUUCCCAUAAGGGCAGCGGGAUCAGCCUCCUGUCUCAUCUGGAAGACCACCACUCUGGGGUCUCAGAGGAAUGAUGGAAGCCUUGGGGUUUCUAAAAUUGGAAGUGAAUGGCCCCAUGGUGACGGUGGCCCUGUCAGUGGCUCUCUUGGCCCUCCUGAAGUGGUACUAUCUUGGUCGUCGGAUGUUUAUUGUUGUUUCUGAGCCAGACAUGAUCAAGCAGGUGUUGGUUGAGAACUUCAGUAACUUUACCAACAGAAUGGCGUCGGGUUUGGAGUUCAAGUCGGUAGCCGACAGCAUUCUGUUUUUACGUGACAAAAGAUGGGAGGAAGUCAGAGGUGCCCUGAUGUCUGCUUUCAGUCCUGAAAAGCUGAACGAGAUGGUUCCCCUCAUCAGCCAAGCCUGCGACCUUCUCCUGGCUCAUUUAAAACGCUAUGCGGAAUCUGGGGACGCAUUUGACAUCCAGAGGUGCUACUGCAAUUACACCACAGAUGUGGUUGCCAGCCUUGCCUUUGGCACCCCGGUGGACUCCUGGCAGGCCCCUGAGGAUCCCUUUGUGAAACACUGCAAGCGUUUCUUCGAAUUCUGCAUCCCGAGACCUAUCCUGGUUUUACUCUUAUCAUUUCCAUCCAUAAUGGUCCCACUGGCCCGGAUUUUGCCCAAUAAGAACCGAGAUGAACUGAAUGGCUUUUUUAACGAACUCAUUAGGAAUGUGAUUGCCUUGCGGGACCAGCAAGCUGCCGAAGAGAGGCGGAGAGACUUCCUCCAAAUGGUCCUGGAUGCCCGACAUUCUGCAAGUCCCAUGGGCGUGCAAGACUUUGACAUCGUCAGAGACGUUUUCUCCUCUACUGGGUGCAAGCCGAACCCUCCCCGGCAACACCAGCCCAGACCCAUGGCCAGGCCUUUGACUGUGGAUGAGAUUGUGGGCCAGGCCUUCAUCUUCCUCAUCGCUGGCUAUGAAAUCGUCACCAACACACUUUCUUUUGCCACCUACCUACUGGCCACCAACCCUGACUGCCAAGAGAAGCUUCUGAGAGAGGUGGACCUUUUUAAGGAGAAACACAUGGCCCCUGAGUUCUGCAGCCUCGAGGAAGGCCUGCCCUAUCUGGACAUGGUGAUUGCAGAGACGCUGAGGAUGUACCCACCAGCUUUCAGAUUCACACGGGAGGCGGCUCAAGACUGCGAGGUGCUGGGGCAGCACAUCCCCGCAGGCGCUGUGCUAGAGAUGGCUGUGGGUGCCCUGCACCAUGACCCUGAGCACUGGCCAAGCCCGCAGACCUUCAACCCUGAAAGGUCCAAACUGAAUCCAGAGAUUUAGCAUUUCAGCAGCCCUGCAUGCAAGGAACAAGGCAAUUUCAAAUGAUUGUCUUCCAUUCAUUCAAGCCAGGACAUGGGAUACAGGAUUGUAUUUCAGGUCUGCACUGGAAAGUAACAGAACAUCAUUUCCUUUUUAAAAAACGGGCAUCUAUGCCAAAACAGCAGCUUCAGCUAAUGUCUCCAUGAAUCUAAAUUCAUGUGAUCCGCUGGUUGACCUGGGUCCCCUCCUUCUACCACCUGGCUUUGGUUCAUUGUCUCCUUUCAUUUCUGGGCUCCGUGAUUGGAGACAUCUGAGAAGGCGGCCCACACUGUGGUCCUCAUCAGAACCAGUCAAUAUCCCGUGUGUGUGUGAUCUGGCAAGGGAAGGGCUGGCCCGGCACCAGU